This 253-nucleotide ribosomal RNA is filed under the name uncultured bacterium. RNAcentral describes it as "partial 16S ribosomal RNA". It matches the Rfam family "Bacterial small subunit ribosomal RNA", at positions 524 to 776 of the family's 1533-position model. The record is from RNAcentral.
UACGUAGGGUGCAAGCGUUGUCCGGAAUUAUUGGGCGUAAAGAGCUCGUAGGCGGUCUGUCGCGUCGGCUGUGAAAACUCGGGGCUCAACUCCGAGCCUGCAGUCGAUACGGGCAGACUAGAGUGCUGUAGGGGAGACUGGAAUUCCUGGUGUAGCGGUGAAAUGCGCAGAUAUCAGGAGGAACACCAGUGGCGAAGGCGGUCUGCUGGGUCAUCACUGACGCUGAGGUACGAAAGCGUGGGUAGCGAACGGG